This is a long non-coding RNA of Juglans regia (Persian walnut), 472 nucleotides long. RefSeq lists it as uncharacterized. The record is from RefSeq and is a predicted model, not a curated record. The transcript is spliced from 3 exons. NCBI's taxonomy places the organism in Eukaryota, Viridiplantae, Streptophyta, Magnoliopsida, Fagales, Juglandaceae.
UCCUCGCCUCCUCGCCUGGCCAGCUGCCCCACCGUAUCGCGCCACCUCCUCCACACGGUCCCUAUUUCAGCAAGCUAUCUCAAACUCCUUUCAAUCUUAAAGUGCUACUGAACUUAUUCUAUAUAAGCUGAAACUGCCGGGGAAGAUAACUUCAGUCCACAGUGCUGCCGAGUUUAUAGCUUAGUUUAAGCAUAAAUUGAUACAGAAGAUAAUUGCACAUUGACAUUUCACUUGUAAAUUUGUAAUGGACAAGUUUGAAUAUCUGGAUGUUGAACUGUCUGGAACAUUUUGUGUCUGAUAUAACACAUGGUCAAUCAUCUACUUUGUUCAGGUGACCAUAGCAUGGGAACAAAGUAGAUGAUUGUUUUGUAUACGUGUAUGAAGUAUUUCCUGGAAAAUCAACUUCUCUUGAUGGAUAUGUACUUGAUCUUGGGAUUCUUGGAAAUUAAAUAUUGUGAGUUAUACUAAUAGA